This 505-nucleotide ribosomal RNA is filed under the name uncultured bacterium. Its description in RNAcentral is "partial 16S ribosomal RNA". It matches the Rfam family "Bacterial small subunit ribosomal RNA", at positions 355 to 870 of the family's 1533-position model. The record is from RNAcentral.
UGGGGAAUAUUGCACAAUGGGCGCAAGCCUGAUGCAGCAACGCCGCGUGAGGGACGACGGCCUUCGGGUUGUAAACCUCUUUUAGUAGGGAAGAAGCGAAAGUGACGGUACCUGCAGAAAAAGCACCGGCUAACUACGUGCCAGCAGCCGCGGUAAUACGUAGGGUGCGAGCGUUGUCCGGAAUUAUUGGGCGUAAAGAGCUCGUAGGCGGUCUGUCGCGUCUGCUGUGAAAACCCGAGGCUCAACCUCGGGCCUGCAGUGGGUACGGGCAGACUAGAGUGCGGUAGGGGAGAAUGGAAUUCCUGGUGUAGCGGUGGAAUGCGCAGAUAUCAGGAGGAACACCGAUGGCGAAGGCAGUUCUCUGGGCCGUAACUGACGCUGAGGAGCGAAAGCGUGGGGAGCGAACAGGAUUAGAUACCCUGGUAGUCCACGCCGUAAACGUUGGGCGCUAGAUGUGGGGACCAUUCCACGGUUUCCGUGUCGCAGCUAACGCAUUAAGCGCCCC